RNAcentral lists this long non-coding RNA (1387 nucleotides) under Nicotiana benthamiana. Its description in RNAcentral is "long non-coding RNA (NBEN_LNC018249)". The record is from RNAcentral. Lineage: Eukaryota; Viridiplantae; Streptophyta; Magnoliopsida; Solanales; Solanaceae.
CUGGCCUUAGGGAUCAGAAUGGGAGAGCCUACAAAGAAAAUUUUAGCCAUAAGAAUUUUUAGCUAUCAGAUUCUUAGCCUAAAGAUUUCAAAACCUACAGAAUUUGAGAGCUGAAAAAUACAAGAGAUUUCAGAGAUACAAAAUUUGAGAGCUAAAAAAACAACAAAUGAGAUUUUGGGAGAGUUUUUGAGCCUAUACUCUGCAUUCCUAGCAUUUAUUUGGUUAAAAUCCACCACAUUGUUACUGAUUUUGGUUUUGUGAUCCUGAGCGUUUAGUUAAAAUUCCUAAAAGAUUCCAUAAUUGAAUCACGUGGUUUAAAAUGGUUUGAGUUCUGGUCCCUUAGAGACUGGCUUUGGAUUUUAUGGUUCUACUGUUCCAUUACAGAUUUAAGGGCUAGUUCUGAAUAUUUGGGUCUUGGUUGUUGAAAUAUGGGUGUUGGUUACUGUUACAUUGUUGAUUCCUGGUGCUAUUGCUUCCUUCUAGUUGCAGACCAAACCUCUGAUCUCUUUUGUUUUCAUUCAGGUACACAUCUCCUGAAAUUCUCUAUGUGUUUAUGAAGCUAAAUUGACGAAGAGAAUAAGAAGAAAGGAUUUGAAGACAUAGUUCUUUUUAAUCAUAUCUAUUUUGUUUCUUUUUGUGUUUCGAAUUAAUGGAGUAUUAUCCUGUUAAGUAGAUCCUUAUGUUAAGUAGAUAAACUUCCACCUAUUAUUAUUUUAAAAGCACUGUAUAACUGAACAUGACAUUUUUAGUUUCAUACAUGCAUAUUCAGUAGAUCUGUUGAAGGUUUAGGCUUAGCCACAAGAUCCUUCUUUAGUAUUAAAUAUUUGUAUUUAUGUAUUAGCCACAGGAUUCUUCUUUAGUAUCUAAUAUUCGUAUUUAGUCAAUCAUGUGCUCAUGGCUUUGGUUAAAUAUUCAGUAGAUUCUUUUGGACAUUGUAACCAUGAUUAAAGAAGGGAUCCAUAGUGUUGAUAACUACUCUAUAUUUUCUUAGAUAACUAUCAAAUCUCAGUUAGUACUCUCAUGCGCCCUUUAGCCUAGUCAUUAUAUGUAGAAAUUCAUCUUUACCCCUGUGUUUUCAUUCAGUUUUGGGAUUCGGAUCUUUUUGAAUCUGAUGAUUCAAGUCUAUGGGAAUUUCAAAAAUGAAUUAUCUGUUGGGUCAAGUAAGCAUGAAGGUUGAGUAAUGUACAGAAAGACAGCGUUUAAUCAUGAGCAUGUUAAGUAAUUGUAAUGCUAAUUUGUCCAUGUAGAAAUCCUAGAGGUUCAACUUUGCUAUUAUAUGCAUAAAAAUAGAUGUGUAUUCGAAAAAAUGCCCAUCGAUUUGGGUUUGGAACUUUGGAUGAAUUGUGAAGGUGAAACUUGCGUUAUUGGGCUUUAUUUUGAAAUCCAG